GGGGAUUUAGCUCAGUGGUAGAGCACUCGCCUAGGAAGCGCAAGGCCCUGGGUUCGGUCCCCAGCUCCG
Non-coding RNA from Rattus norvegicus (Norway rat), 69 nucleotides. The record is from Rfam. NCBI's taxonomy places the organism in Eukaryota, Metazoa, Chordata, Mammalia, Rodentia, Muridae.